RNAcentral lists this ribosomal RNA (497 nucleotides) under uncultured bacterium. RNAcentral describes it as "partial 16S ribosomal RNA". It matches the Rfam family "Bacterial small subunit ribosomal RNA", at positions 28 to 507 of the family's 1533-position model. The record is from RNAcentral.
GAUGAACGCUGGCGGCGUGCCUAAUACAUGCAAGUCGAGCGAACAGACGAGGAGCUUGCUCCUCUGACGUUAGCGGCGGACGGGUGAGUAACACGUGGAUAACCUACCUAUAAGACUGGGAUAACUUCGGGAAACCGGAGCUAAUACCGGAUAAUAUAUUGAACCGCAUGGUUCAAUAGUGAAAGACGGUUUUGCUGUCACUUAUAGAUGGAUCCGCGCCGCAUUAGCUAGUUGGUAAGGUAACGGCUCACCAAGGCAACGAUGCGUAGCCGACCUGAGAGGGUGGUCGGCCACACUGGAACUGAGACACGGUCCAGACUCCUACGGGAGGCAGCAGUAGGGAAUCUUCCGCAAUGGGCGAAAGCCUGACGGAGCAACGCCGCGUGAGUGAUGAAGGUCUUCGGAUCGUAAAACUCUGUUAUUAGGGAAGAACAAAUGUGUAAGUAACUAUGCACGUCUUGACGGUACCUAAUCAGAAAGCCACGGCUAACUACGUG